GACGAACGCUGGCGGCGUGCCUAAUACAUGCAAGUAGAACGCUGAAGGAGGAGCUUGCUUCUCUGGAUGAGUUGCGAACGGGUGAGUAACGCGUAGGUAACCUGCCUGGUAGCGGGGGAUAACUAUUGGAAACGAUAGCUAAUACCGCAUAAGAGUAGAUGUUGCAUGACAUUUGCUUAAAAGGUGCAAUUGCAUCACUACCAGAUGGACCUGCGUUGUAUUAGCUAGUUGGUGGGGUAACGGCUCACCAAGGCGACGAUACAUAGCCGACCUGAGAGGGUGAUCGGCCACACUGGGACUGAGACACGGCCCAGACUCCUACGGGAGGCAGCAGUAGGGAAUCUUCGGCAAUGGACGGAAGUCUGACCGAGCAACGCCGCGUGAGUGAAGAAGGGUUUCGGAUCGUAAAGCUCUGUUGUAAGAGAAGAACGAGUGUGAGAGUGGAAAGUUCACACUGUGACGGUAUCUUACCAGAAAGGGUCGGCUAACUACGUG
RNAcentral lists this ribosomal RNA (495 nucleotides) under uncultured bacterium. Its description in RNAcentral is "partial 16S ribosomal RNA". It matches the Rfam family "Bacterial small subunit ribosomal RNA", at positions 28 to 507 of the family's 1533-position model. The record is from RNAcentral.